AACGAACGCUGGCGGCAUGCCUAACACAUGCAAGUCGAACGAAGCCUUCGGGCUUAGUGGCGCACGGGUGCGUAACACGUGGGAAUCUGCCCUUUGGUUCGGAAUAACAGUUGGAAACGACUGCUAAUACCGGAUGAUGACGAAAGUCCAAAGAUUUAUCGCCAGAGGAUGAGCCCGCGUAGGAUUAGCUUGUUGGUGUGGUAAAGGCGCACCAAGGCGAAGAUCCUUAGCUGGUCUGAGAGGAUGAUCAGCCACACUGGGACUGAGACACGGCCCAGACUCCUACGGGAGGCAGCAGUGGGGAAUAUUGGACAAUGGGCGAAAGCCUGAUCCAGCAAUGCCGCGUGAGUGAUGAAGGCCCUAGGGUUGUAAAGCUCUUUUACCCGGGAUGAUAAUGACAGUACCGGGAGAAUAAGCCCCGGCUAACUCCGUGCCAGCAGCCGCCGUAA
This 449-nucleotide ribosomal RNA is filed under the name uncultured bacterium. Its description in RNAcentral is "partial 16S ribosomal RNA". It matches the Rfam family "Bacterial small subunit ribosomal RNA", at positions 29 to 523 of the family's 1533-position model. The record is from RNAcentral.